ACAGUAAGGCAUGGGCAACCUACCCCGGGGACGGGGAUAGCUCUUCUAACGAGGAGGUAAUACCUGGCGAUUCAGCGGGAAGGCAUCUUUCUGCUGGGAAACGAGUUUCGCCUCGGGAGGGGCUCAUGUAGUAUUAGCUAGUUGGUGAGGUAACGGCUCACCAAGGCAAAGAUGCUUAGCGGGUGUGAGAGCACGACCCGCGCCACUGGCACUGAGACACUGGCCAG
Molecule: ribosomal RNA, 227 nt
Filed under: uncultured bacterium
Lineage: Bacteria
Description: partial 16S ribosomal RNA
Rfam family: Bacterial small subunit ribosomal RNA
Source: RNAcentral